GUUUACGGCCACACCGCCUGGUAUACGCUUGAUCUCGGAAGAUAAGAUAGGUUGGGCCUGGUUAGUACUUUGAUGGGAGACCGCCUGGGAAUGCCAGGUGCUGUAAGCU
RNAcentral lists this ribosomal RNA (109 nucleotides) under Scophthalmus maximus (turbot). Lineage: Eukaryota; Metazoa; Chordata; Actinopteri; Pleuronectiformes; Scophthalmidae. The record is from RNAcentral.